AAUUAUUUAUCAUUUAUUUGAUGCCUUUACAAAAUAUAGACAAGACUACAAGAAACAGAAACAAGAAGAAUUUAAGCACAUAGCAGUAUUUCCCUGCAAGAUGAAAAUCCUCCCUCAGUACAUUUUUAAUUCUCGAGAUCCGAUAGUGAUGGGGGUGACGGUGGAAGCAGGUCAGGUGAAACAGGGGACACCCAUGUGUGUCCCAAGCAAAAAUUUUGUUGACAUCGGAAUAGUAACAAGUAUUGAAAUAAAUCAUAAACAAGUGGAUGUUGCAAAAAAAGGACAAGAAGUCUGUGUAAAAAUAGAACCUAUCCCUGGUGAGUCGCCCAAAAUGUUUGGAAGACAUUUUGAAGCUACAGACAUUCUUGUUAGUAAGGUAAGUAUUUAAGCAAAAGUGGAACACUUUAAGAAACAGGGAAUCACUCUUCUUGGGUCACCUGUACCUAGUGGCUCCUUGGGCUUCAGUUUGAUUGUAGAAUCUGAUGGGACUGGAUCCCCCAUUAGGGCUUGACCUCUAGCUGGGCCUUGUCUGUUGAGGAAGUUGCUCCAUCAGGAAAGCAGCACCAACAGAGAAAGCUAGGACUUUUAGGUCCCCUUGUGUCUGACAUGCAAACCGGAUGUGAUUUUGGAAUUCUACUCCCUUAGGCAGGCAAGCCCUGUUUUUU
This 665-nucleotide small RNA is filed under the name Pongo abelii (Sumatran orangutan). RNAcentral describes it as "retained intron". Lineage: Eukaryota; Metazoa; Chordata; Mammalia; Primates; Hominidae. The record is from RNAcentral.